CAGCCGCCGCGGGAAUACGUAGGUGGCAAGCGUUGUCCGGAAUUAUUGGGCGUAAAGGGCUCGCAGGCGGUUUCUUAAGUCUGAUGUGAAAGCCCCCGGCUCAACCGGGGAGGGUCAUUGGAAACUGGGAAACUUGAGUGCAGAAGAGGAGAGCGGAAUUCCACGCGUAGCGGUGAAAUGCGUAGAGAUGUGGAGGAACACCAGUGGCGAAGGCGACUCUCUGGUCUGUAACUGACGCUGAGGAGCGAAAGCGUGGGGAGCGAACAGGAUUAGAUACCCCGGUAGUCCCUGUCUCUUAUAC
RNAcentral lists this ribosomal RNA (301 nucleotides) under uncultured bacterium. RNAcentral describes it as "partial 16S ribosomal RNA". It matches the Rfam family "Bacterial small subunit ribosomal RNA", at positions 509 to 807 of the family's 1533-position model. The record is from RNAcentral.